CCUACGGGUGGCUGCAGUCGAGGAUCUUCGUCAAUGGGGGCAACCCUGAACGAGCGAUGCCGCGUGCGCGAUGAAGGCCUUCGGGUUGUAAAGCGCGAAGGUGGGGAGAAAGGCCGAAAGGCGUGAUCUAUCCACAGUAAGCUCGGGCUAAGUUCGUGCCAGCAGCCGCGGUAAGACGAACCGAGCGAACGUUGUUCGGAAUAACUGGGCUUAAAGGGCGCGUAGGCGGGCUGUCAAGUUUGGGGUGAAAUCCCGCGGCUCAACCGCGGAACUGCCUCGAAUACUGACGGUCUCGAGGGAGGUAGGGGCGAGCGGAACUGAUGGUGGAGCGGUGAAAUGCGUUGAUAUCAUCAGGAACUCCGGUGGCGAAGGCGGCUCGCUGGACCUCUUCUGACGCUGAGGCGCGAAAGCUAGGGGAGCAAACGGGAUUAGAUACCCCUGUAGUC
This 446-nucleotide ribosomal RNA is filed under the name uncultured bacterium. RNAcentral describes it as "bacterial SSU rRNA". It matches the Rfam family "Bacterial small subunit ribosomal RNA", at positions 338 to 795 of the family's 1533-position model. The record is from RNAcentral.